This 76-nucleotide transfer RNA is filed under the name Terriglobia bacterium. RNAcentral's name for it is "tRNA-His". It matches the Rfam family "tRNA". From Rfam's summary of the family: Transfer RNA (tRNA) molecules are approximately 80 nucleotides in length. Lineage: Bacteria; Pseudomonadati; Acidobacteriota; Terriglobia. The record is from RNAcentral.
GUGAGUGUAGCUCAGUUGGUAGAGCACUGGAUUGUGGCUCCAGUGGUCGUGGGUUCGAUCCCCAUCACUCACCCCA